Molecule: long non-coding RNA, 282 nt
Filed under: Helianthus annuus (common sunflower)
Lineage: Eukaryota; Viridiplantae; Streptophyta; Magnoliopsida; Asterales; Asteraceae
Description: sRNA HanXRQr2_Chr11g0516401
Source: RNAcentral
UUUUGUAAAACUAGUAGAAUCCCCCGCGCUUCGCGGCGGACAUUCGGUCGGCAACGCUUCGGUUCGUAACGUAAUGACAACUGAAAGAGAAAACCUGAAAAACAAAAAAUAACAUAAUGCAAGCUAAAUGCAAAUGUCUAUGUAUGUAGGCUAGUUUUUAACCCCUGUGUUACGGGGCAUAGGUCGUAAAAUUGUGCUAAGUGGUAAGCAAACAAUGAUCAAACCAGAAAAAUCGUAAAUCAAAAACCCAAAUUUGUGCAGACAAAAAAAAACGCAAACUUA